UCUCCAGUUCCCAUCCGAUCACCACAGUUAAGCAAUAUUGAACCUGGUUAGUACCUAGAUGGGUGACAGCUUGGGAAUACAAGGUGCUGUAAG
This is a non-coding RNA of Acanthosepion pharaonis, 93 nucleotides long. The record is from the annotation of a GenBank genome assembly. NCBI's taxonomy places the organism in Eukaryota, Metazoa, Mollusca, Cephalopoda, Sepiida, Sepiidae.